This 200-nucleotide unclassified non-coding RNA is filed under the name soil metagenome. RNAcentral's name for it is "partial contains internal transcribed spacer 2 and large subunit ribosomal RNA". The record is from RNAcentral.
GUUGGUCGUGAGUGCUGCGGGCGCAAGCCGGCUCGCUUUAAAUGGAUGAGUCGUCUGGCGUGUGUGUCCAUACAAGCGUGAUAGUUAUUUCGUUUGGCCUGGCGCGCGCGUGUGUCGAUGGCUUUCUAACCCGGGGGCGCGCUCAAGCGGCCACUUUGAACCCAGACCUCAAAUCAGGUAGGACUACCCGCUGAACUUAA